Podarcis raffonei (Aeolian wall lizard) is the source of this 599-nucleotide long non-coding RNA. RefSeq lists it as uncharacterized. Lineage: Eukaryota; Metazoa; Chordata; Lepidosauria; Squamata; Lacertidae. The transcript is spliced from 3 exons. The record is from RefSeq and is a predicted model, not a curated record.
UGUGUGAUUUCCCCCUUCCCCAAAUAUAUUUUUCUCUUCCAGCGCCCCAGAGCACUUCAGAGGAGAUAUGAAUCUAUGUAUCUCAACUGCCCUUCAAGUCACAGAACAGGAAGGGCGUAACAGCACGUCUGUGACAAAGGAGCAGCAGCCGUAGAGACUGUCCAGCAUAAAAUAUAACCAAGGUUGAAAACAGAGAAUGAGGACAGCAGCAGUUGUUAAGGAAGCAAACACUCAUGUAUUCCAGACCGUCUGCCACCCUUGUGUUGUCGAGCCAGCCCCGGUAAUGAUCCAGGAAGAUCCCACAAGUGCAAAUUUCCAACAAUGCAUCACCCUACAAAGUCAUCUGAUGCCGAAUGGCCAUUCUGGAACUCCCAAAGUACCAAGCAGGCAACGGCGGGGGAGAAGAGUCUGAAGGGGUUUCAACUUGUGUUCCCUUUAAGAAAGAGAUGGACGCUCUCUAGCAAGUCAAAGAUGUUGGCUAGUCUAUCCCUCCCAACCCGGUGUGUGUCUCAUUUUGUGCGUGACCUAUUAUCUUCAAUAGGUCAACAACCCAUAAGCAGCUGAUCUGAGAGGACACAUUCACCAUGGUGCUGUGAGAA